RNAcentral lists this long non-coding RNA (1254 nucleotides) under Equus caballus (horse). RNAcentral's name for it is "lncRNA (ENSECAG00000057306.1)". Lineage: Eukaryota; Metazoa; Chordata; Mammalia; Perissodactyla; Equidae. The record is from RNAcentral.
UGCCUGUGUUGCUAUUCCUGCUCAGAUGAAAGAAAUUCAAAUAGUUAUUGAUUGGCGCUGAGGGGAGAGUGCGGGGAUCCGGUCUGGCUCCGUUACAGCUGCACCCAGCCCCUGCCCGGCCUGCUUCCAGCCUUGGGCCCUCAGGCCCUGCUCUGGCUCCUGCCUCCAGCCUGUUCCCAGCCCCUGCCUGGGCACCUACCCUAGUCUUUGUCUUGGGGCAGCCAAAGGAGCACAUUUUAACAUGUGCUCAGUUAAAAACACUUCCUGACAUACGCUUUCAUUUAGAGCAGUCAUCAGGAGCAGUUCCAGCCGAGGAGAUACAAGCAGAAGUUGCUGGACAUGAGCCCGGACCCCAGCCUCAGCCCCAGGUGACGGGGACAGACAAGGAAACGGAAGCUCUGAGAGGUAUAGUGUCUUGACCGCUGUCACACAGGUGGUGUUGAGUGGAUUUGAACCCAACUCUGUUGGACCCCAAAGUCUCCGUGCUCCAUCGCUAUGAUACACUGCCAGUCUCCCCAUGAAACCAGGGAGAGGUUCUUGGAUGUGCCCGUAUCACAGAGUGUGAGUCUGACCAGGGAUAUGGAAGGACCCGUGAAUGCCACCUGGGUCUAAGGGAGGACCCUGGUCCUCAGCAAGAAACUCUUGCUCUUUGCUGGAGAAAGAAAAGAGGAAUGUUUGCCAGUGGUCUUCCUUCCCUGUGAGCUGUCUUGGUUUGGAGCCAGAAAAAGCUAACAGAGAAGAGCAAGAGAAUUAAUGUGGAUCGAAUAGGUCAAGAAAUUAUUGCAGAGGACCCCAAUUCACACAUGUAUCAUCAAACCGUGUUGAUAAGCCAGCACUUCUUAAAGCGUAUUCCAAAAUUAAAUGGUGUUACUCGGGAAACAAAGGCUUCUGUGGUCAAAUAAGUUCAGAAACUGCAGGACUCCCCAGAUCCUUUAUCAUGCGACUCUGAGGCUCCACGGGAGGGAGAGUAGACAGUUUCCUAAUCUUAUUGAAGCCAAGAAGGCUUCUUUUCUUUUUUCUUUCUUUAACAGAGCAUUUGGCUCAGUGCUUCUUGAAGUGUGAGUCCCCCAGCCACCUGCAUCAGAACCACCUGAGGGGCUUCUCAGAAAGGCAGACUCUUGGGGCCGGCCUGGUGGCCUAGUGGUUAUGCUUGCACACUCUGCUUCGGUGGCCCAGGAUUCGUGGGUUCAGAUCCCAGACGGCACCCCUGCUAGGUGGCUCCAGUUUCUCUAACCAUUAGGAAGGUAUUACAGU